UGGACAUUUAUUCCUUGAGGAGACGAGAAGUGUGCGCUCUCUCAAGGUGAAGCUAGCUAGCUCUUUAUAAAUGUCCUAGAGAAAUAUAGUCGCUUUCUGUCCACCCUUUGCAAGUAAAAAGGGUGGAUCGUUCCACUACUGCCACUU
RNAcentral lists this small nucleolar RNA (147 nucleotides) under Echinops telfairi (small Madagascar hedgehog). Its description in RNAcentral is "Small Cajal body specific RNA 24 (ENSETEG00000026160.1)". It matches the Rfam family "Small Cajal body specific RNA 24". Rfam says of the family: scaRNAs are a specific class of small nuclear RNAs which localise to the Cajal bodies and guide the modification of RNA polymerase II transcribed spliceosomal RNAs U1, U2, U4, U5 and U12. ACA12 belongs to the H/ACA box class of guide RNAs as it has the predicted hairpin-hinge-hairpin-tail structure,the conserved H/ACA-box motifs and is found associated with GAR1. Lineage: Eukaryota; Metazoa; Chordata; Mammalia; Afrosoricida; Tenrecidae. The record is from RNAcentral.